AUUGAACGCUGGCGGAAUGCUUUACACAUGCAAGUCGAACGGCAGCACGGGGGCAGCCCUGGUGGCGAGUGGCGAACGGGUGAGUAAUACAUCGGAACGUGCCCGGUCGUGGGGGAUAACGUAGCGAAAGUUACGCUAAUACCGCAUACGAUCUGAGGAUGAAAGCGGGGGACCUUCGGGCCUCGCGCGAUCGGAGCGGCCGAUGUCAGAUUAGGUAGUUGGUGGGGUAAAGGCCUACCAAGCCGACGAUCUGUAGCUGGUCUGAGAGGACGACCAGCCACACUGGGACUGAGACACGGCCCAGACGCCUACGGGAGGCAGCAGUGGGGAAUGUUGGACAAUGGGCGCAAGCCUGAUCCAGCCAUUCCGCGUGCAGGACGAAGGCCUUCGGGUUGUAAACUGCUUUUGUACGGAACGAAAAGGCUCUGGCUAAUACCUGGGGCUCAUGACGGUACCGUAAGAAUAAGCACCGGCUAACUACGUG
RNAcentral lists this ribosomal RNA (484 nucleotides) under uncultured bacterium. RNAcentral's name for it is "partial 16S ribosomal RNA". It matches the Rfam family "Bacterial small subunit ribosomal RNA", at positions 29 to 507 of the family's 1533-position model. The record is from RNAcentral.